Molecule: long non-coding RNA, 688 nt
Filed under: Nicotiana benthamiana
Lineage: Eukaryota; Viridiplantae; Streptophyta; Magnoliopsida; Solanales; Solanaceae
Description: long non-coding RNA (NBEN_LNC009059)
Source: RNAcentral
UUUUCUGAGUCUCUCAUCGUGAUAUCCGAGUGUAUUUUCUUCUCCUGAACAUUCUGGAAGAUUUUAUGAUGAUUUUUGGUUGGUUGAUUUUGGUGACCUAUCGGCUUCUAGGGUUUCUGGUGGGUUGACUUGAGGUUUUACUGCCUUCCGGUCGCUCGAUUCUCACUCAGUGGACGUUUUGGGUGCUUCUCCGACAUUCCUGACCACAUUUCUAGUAAAGUUGCUUUUAAGGUUACACUUAGGGUUUGAUACCUAGGUUUUCUCUGUUGUUUGAAGGCCGAUCUUCUCCGGUCGCGAAGAAGGAGGGUAACUCUGUCCUUAUCUUCGGUAUUACAUGUGAUUGUUUGACUGUGUACUUAUGAGCAUCUGGUGUUGUCUGUGAAUACCUGACUUGACUGUAUUCUGUUUGUUGGUUGUUGUAUGUGAAUACCUGUUUUGGUUAUAUUCUGUUUGUUGAAAAAGUUAUUCAUUUAAGCCGGUUCAUUGACUAUGGCUUCUAACACAAGUACUAGUGUCUCCCCUUCUCUAGACUCUUCCAGUCCCCUUUUUGUAUAUUCUUCUGAUGUCCCUGGGGUAUCUCUUGUUUCCACUCCCUUCUCGGGUAGUGGUUAUGGGGGCUGGGGACGUAAAAUGAUUGUUGCCUUAUCAGCCAAAAACAAAAUCAGUUUUGUUGAUGGCACAUACUNNN